UUCCUCAUGGUCCAGUGCUUAGGACUUGGUGCUUUCACUGCCAAGGGCCCAGGUUCAAUCCCUAGUUGGGGAG
This 73-nucleotide transfer RNA is filed under the name Ovis aries (sheep). It matches the Rfam family "tRNA". From Rfam's summary of the family: Transfer RNA (tRNA) molecules are approximately 80 nucleotides in length. Their secondary structure includes four short double-helical elements and three loops (D, anti-codon, and T loops). Further hydrogen bonds mediate the characteristic L-shaped molecular structure. tRNAs have two regions of fundamental functional importance: the anti-codon, which is responsible for specific mRNA codon recognition, and the 3' end, to which the tRNAs corresponding amino acid is attached (by aminoacyl-tRNA synthetases). tRNAs cope with the degeneracy of the genetic code in two manners: having more than one tRNA (with a specific anti-codon) for a particular amino acid; and 'wobble' base-pairing, i.e. permitting non-standard base-pairing at the 3rd anti-codon position. Lineage: Eukaryota; Metazoa; Chordata; Mammalia; Artiodactyla; Bovidae. The record is from Rfam by way of RNAcentral.